RNAcentral lists this ribosomal RNA (34 nucleotides) under Gyrodactylus derjavini. RNAcentral describes it as "partial 28S ribosomal RNA". Lineage: Eukaryota; Metazoa; Platyhelminthes; Monogenea; Gyrodactylidea; Gyrodactylidae. The record is from RNAcentral.
CCUGACCUCGAUUCGAGCGUGAAUACCCGCUGAA